RNAcentral lists this ribosomal RNA (479 nucleotides) under uncultured bacterium. RNAcentral's name for it is "bacterial SSU rRNA". It matches the Rfam family "Bacterial small subunit ribosomal RNA", at positions 28 to 507 of the family's 1533-position model. The record is from RNAcentral.
GACGAACGCUGGCGGCGUGCCUAACACAUGCAAGUCGAGCGGAGUCGAUCGACGGAAGCCUUCGGGCGGAAGAUGGUUGACUUAGCGGCGGAUGGGUGAGUAACGCGUGGGCAACCUGCCUCGAAGACCGGGAUAACAGCCCGAAAGGGCUGCUAAUACCGGAUGUGGUCAAGGAUCCGCAUGGAUUUUUGAUUAAAGGGGAAACCCGUUUCGAGAUGGGCCCGCGUCCUAUCAGCUAGUUGGUGAGGUAAAAGCUCACCAAGGCGACGACGGGUAGCCGGCCUGAGAGGGUGACCGGCCACACUGGAACUGAGACACGGUCCAGACUCCUACGGGGGCAGCAGUGGGGAAUCUUCCACAAUGGGCGAAAGCCUGAUGGAGCGACGCCGCGUGAGCGAAGAAGGCCUCGGUUGUAAAGCUCUGUCUGGAGGGACGAAGGAAGUGACGGUACCUCCGGAGGAAGCCCGGCUAACUACGUG